CUGGCAGUGCUUUUGUGUUUCUAAGCAGAGGUGUAGGAGGAAUGCUCCAUCCCCACGAAGCUGAGCAGUAAUAGAUCGUAAUGCAUGCAGUUAAAAUUCUUAUUGAUGUUUAUUGAAUAAUAAUUAGUAUUUGUCUUUGAACAAAGGGAUUCGUAAAAUAUUUUAUGAGACCGGUAUUUUUAAAAUAGAAAAAAAAUCACGAUAUGAUAAGAUUGAAACAAAUCAAAUUAAAAAAAGUGCUUUUAAUCUGAACAUCAUCAUGCUAAAAGUUCUUUUGAGAUACAACUUAAUGGGUUACAAAUUGUAAUCCGCAUUACAGAUACAUGAUUGUAUCAACGUGGAAAAAUAUAUAUAUUCAUGAGGAACGAUUAAAAAGCAG
Molecule: long non-coding RNA, 379 nt
Filed under: Mytilus galloprovincialis (Mediterranean mussel)
Lineage: Eukaryota; Metazoa; Mollusca; Bivalvia; Mytilida; Mytilidae
Source: RNAcentral